RNAcentral lists this ribosomal RNA (490 nucleotides) under uncultured bacterium. RNAcentral describes it as "partial 16S ribosomal RNA". It matches the Rfam family "Bacterial small subunit ribosomal RNA", at positions 30 to 507 of the family's 1533-position model. The record is from RNAcentral.
AUUGAACGCUGGCGGCAGGCCUAACACAUGCAAGUCGAACGGUAACAGGAAGCAGCUUGCUGCUUCGCUGACGAGUGGCGGACGGGUGAGUAAUGUCUGGGAAGCUGCCUGAUGGAGGGGGAUAACUACUGGAAACGGUAGCUAGUACCGCAUAAUGUCGCAAGACCAAAGAGGGGGACCUUCGGGCCUCUUGCCAUCGGAUGUGCCCAGAUGGGAUUAGCUUGUUGGUGGGGUAACGGCUCACCAAGGCGACGAUCCCUAGCUGGUCUGAGAGGAUGACCAGCCACACUGGAACUGAGACACGGUCCAGACUCCUACGGGAGGCAGCAGUGGGGAAUAUUGCACAAAGGGCGCAAGCCUGAUGCAGCCAUGCCGCGUGUAUGAAGAAGGCCUUCGGGUUGUAAAGUACUUUCAGCGGGGAGGAAGGGAGUAAAGUUAAUACCUUUGCUCAUUGACGUUACCCGCAGAAGAAGCACCGGCUAACUCCGUG